Non-coding RNA from Theobroma cacao (cacao), 660 nucleotides. Lineage: Eukaryota; Viridiplantae; Streptophyta; Magnoliopsida; Malvales; Malvaceae. The record is from RefSeq and is a predicted model, not a curated record.
CAGACUUUUCACUCCGAAAACUUACCCCUAUUAGGUUAGUCUUAAACGCCCCCUCAUGCCUUUGUCCUCCACUCUACCAUUUUUAGCAACUUUCAAACCCUCUGUUUCUCUCUCUCUCUCUCUCACAAAAAACACCGUUUUUUAAGAUCCCAGCUUAGCUUGGAGUUUUGAAUGGAUAAAGGUAACAUUUUCCAACUUUCAAACUUUUAAAUCCUUGGUUCCCAGCUCUAAUUUUUACCAUUUUCAAUAGAUUUCGUAUCUUUCCAUAGAAGCUACGGUUUACUUUUGGUUCCUCUCAUUAGCGGCUCACCAAGAUCAAACCACUCAAAACCGAGUGUAAACCUUUAAAACCAGCCACUCCACAGCUUAUGCAACAAGAUCGAUCUCCAUUUGAAAUCAACUCGCGGAAUAAAACAGAACAAGGGCUUGUGUGGGAUGCCAUUGUGUGCGCUAAACGCAUUACUUGGUAGUAGGGAGUUAAUUAGACAAUGUUAUGUUAUAAGUUGCUACCAUAAGAUGGAGCAAUUAGUCUGGUUUAUAUAUAAGAGAUCGAGUUGAAUGUUACCAGGGAGGUCGAGUUAUGUUAAAGGCGCCAGUAAAUGUUUGUGUCUCUAAAUAUUGUGAUCCACCUAUUGGUAUUUGCUAGACUAGUGAUUGUCA